This is a small nucleolar RNA of Gastrolobium bilobum, 107 nucleotides long. The record is from RefSeq and is a predicted model, not a curated record. Lineage: Eukaryota; Viridiplantae; Streptophyta; Magnoliopsida; Fabales; Fabaceae.
AAGUCAUAUUGGGGGCAUUUUCUGAUCAACUCCUGAAAUCUGGUCCAGGCUGCACAUAAGGUCUCUCUUGGUUGUUGUGUGAAGUUGGUGAUUUCAUUCACCAACUU